UGGUGCAAGAAAAUUGGUACCGUUAAUUUUAUUGUGCAGAGGUCGUUUGUUGGUAUUUUUCAUCGAUGUCAUCAUUUGUUUUUAAAUUUAUAACAAGUAAACUAGUGUUACUACAUAGCAAUACAUAUGCUUUUCUUACCCUAGAUAUGCCAUUCGUAGAGUUUGUGAGAUCCACCUUCAUCAAAAAACGGAAAAAUGGUACUGAUUGCAUUGUUAGACGUUUAAGAAAUGAAGUGGACAACGAAGACGUCAUAACCAAGCAUUUAAUGGAUAUAACAAUCACAGGGAAUUUUAUUCACAGGAAAGCAAAUAAAACCACAUUGCAAUACAGGUGUGAAAGAUGUAAUAAACCAAGAGGAAAAAA
Mytilus californianus (California mussel) is the source of this 364-nucleotide long non-coding RNA. RefSeq lists it as uncharacterized. The transcript has 3 exons. Lineage: Eukaryota; Metazoa; Mollusca; Bivalvia; Mytilida; Mytilidae. The record is from RefSeq and is a predicted model, not a curated record.